ACUCCUACGGGAGGCAGCAGUGGGGAAUAUUGCACAAUGGGCGCAAGCCUGAUGCAGCCAUGCCGCGUGUGUGAAGAAGGCCUUCGGUUGUAAAGCACUUUCAGUCGUGAGGAAGGUAGUGUAGUUAAUAGCUGCAUUAUUUGUACGUUAGCGACAGAAGAAGCACCGGCUAACUCCGUGCCAGCAGCCGCGGUAAUACGGAGGGUGCGAGCGUUAAUCGGAAUUACUGGGCGUAAAGCGCAUGCAGGUGGUUUGUUAAGUCAGAUGUGAAAGCCCGGGGCUCAACCUCGGAAUAGCAUUUGAAACUGGCAGACUAGAGUACUGUAGAGGGGGUAGAAUUUCAGGUGUAGCGGUGAAAUGCGUAGAGAUCUGAAGGAAUACCGGUGGCGAAGGCGGCCCCCUGGACAGAUACUGACACUCAGAUGCGAAAGCGUGGGGAGC
This 441-nucleotide ribosomal RNA is filed under the name uncultured bacterium. RNAcentral describes it as "bacterial SSU rRNA". It matches the Rfam family "Bacterial small subunit ribosomal RNA", at positions 335 to 769 of the family's 1533-position model. The record is from RNAcentral.